AUUUUAUUGGAUGAUGACUGUCAAGUGUCAUGUUCUGAUUGAUCAAUGAAAACAACAAUACAUUUCAUCUUUCAUGGAAUUGAUAUUCAAUCAGAACAUGACACGUGUCAGUCAAUAAAA
Glycine soja is the source of this 120-nucleotide non-coding RNA. Lineage: Eukaryota; Viridiplantae; Streptophyta; Magnoliopsida; Fabales; Fabaceae. The record is from Rfam.